This 250-nucleotide long non-coding RNA is filed under the name Elaeis guineensis (African oil palm). Its description in RNAcentral is "long non-coding RNA (EGUI_LNC073714)". The record is from RNAcentral. Lineage: Eukaryota; Viridiplantae; Streptophyta; Magnoliopsida; Arecales; Arecaceae.
UAAGAUAUAUACCACGAUGUGAUGUAAUACAAUAUUUAAGACAAGCCAAGAAUUAGCCUCAUGUAUCAGUAGACUCCUCAUCCACUAUAGCAAAGGCAAGUGGAAAAAUUUGAUUGUUCCCAUCAACAACUAUUUCAAUCAUCAGCUUCUCUCGAUAUUUUUCGUACAUAAAUGUAGCAUCGAUACUGAUAACCGAUCUAUAGUGUUUGAAGCCUUCAAUUGAUGGUGCAAAUAUCCAAAAAUCAUGAUC